This 75-nucleotide transfer RNA is filed under the name Alphaproteobacteria bacterium. RNAcentral describes it as "tRNA-Gly". It matches the Rfam family "tRNA". From Rfam's summary of the family: Transfer RNA (tRNA) molecules are approximately 80 nucleotides in length. Their secondary structure includes four short double-helical elements and three loops (D, anti-codon, and T loops). Further hydrogen bonds mediate the characteristic L-shaped molecular structure. tRNAs have two regions of fundamental functional importance: the anti-codon, which is responsible for specific mRNA codon recognition, and the 3' end, to which the tRNAs corresponding amino acid is attached (by aminoacyl-tRNA synthetases). tRNAs cope with the degeneracy of the genetic code in two manners: having more than one tRNA (with a specific anti-codon) for a particular amino acid; and 'wobble' base-pairing, i.e. permitting non-standard base-pairing at the 3rd anti-codon position. RNAcentral also lists the same sequence under 1 other name. Lineage: Bacteria; Pseudomonadati; Pseudomonadota; Alphaproteobacteria. The record is from RNAcentral.
GCGGGCGUGGCUCAGUGGUAGAGCAUUUCGUUGCCAACGAAAGGGUCGGCGGUUCGAAUCCGCUCGCCCGCUCCA